This 83-nucleotide transfer RNA is filed under the name Coprinopsis cinerea okayama7#130. RNAcentral's name for it is "tRNA-Asp". RNAcentral also lists the same sequence under 1 other name. Lineage: Eukaryota; Fungi; Basidiomycota; Agaricomycetes; Agaricales; Psathyrellaceae. The record is from RNAcentral.
UCUCUGUUAGUAUAUCGGUUAGUACACGCGCCUGUCAGUACUUCUGGUCGCGCGAAAGCUGGGUUCGACUCCCAGACAGAGAG